Molecule: ribosomal RNA, 418 nt
Filed under: Streptococcus lutetiensis
Lineage: Bacteria; Bacillati; Bacillota; Bacilli; Lactobacillales; Streptococcaceae
Description: bacterial SSU rRNA
Rfam family: Bacterial small subunit ribosomal RNA
Source: RNAcentral
GCAGUAGAACGCUGAAGACUUUAGCUUGCUAAAGUUGGAAGAGUUGCGAACGGGUGAGUAACGCGUAGGUAACCUGCCUACUAGCGGGGGAUAACUAUUGGAAACGAUAGCUAAUACCGCAUAACAGCAUUUAACCCAUGUUAGAUGCUUGAAAGGAGCAAUUGCUUCACUAGUAGAUGGACCUGCGUUGUAUUAGCUAGUUGGUGAGGUAACGGCUCACCAAGGCGACGAUACAUAGCCGACCUGAGAGGGUGAUCGGCCACACUGGGACUGAGACACGGCCCAGACUCCUACGGGAGGCAGCAGUAGGGAAUCUUCGGCAAUGGGGGCAACCCUGACCGAGCAACGCCGCGUGAGUGAAGAAGGUUUUCGGAUCGUAAAGCUCUGUUGUAAGAGAAGAACGUGUGUGAGAGUGGAA